Molecule: ribosomal RNA, 468 nt
Filed under: uncultured bacterium
Lineage: Bacteria
Description: partial 16S ribosomal RNA
Rfam family: Bacterial small subunit ribosomal RNA
Source: RNAcentral
GACGAACGCUGGCGGCGUGCUUAACACAUGCAAGUCGAACGGAAAGGCCCUGCUUUUGUGGGGUGCUCGAGUGGCGAACGGGUGAGUAACACGUGAGUAACCUGCCCUGGACUUUGGGAUAACUUCAGGAAACUGGGGCUAAUACCGGAUAGGAGCUCCUGCUGCAUGGGGGGGGUUGGAAAGUUUCGGCGGUUGGGGAUGGACUCGCGGCUUAUCAGCUUGUUGGUGGGGUAGUGGCUUACCAAGGCUUUGACGGGUGGCCGGCCUGAGAGGGUGACCGGCCACAUUGGGACUGAGAUACGGCCCAGACUCCUACGGGAGGCAGCAGUGGGGAAUAUUGCACAAUGGGCGGAAGCCUGAUGCAGCAACGCCGCGUGCGGGAUGACGGCCUUCGGGUUGUAAACCGCUUUCGCCUGUGACGAAGCGUGAGUGACGGUAAUGGGUAAAGAAGCACCGGCUAACUACGUG